CGGGGGCGUAUGUUAGUAUGCAAUUAUGAUUGAACUCAUAUACGUCAGGUCAAAGUGCAGCUAAUGAGAGGGCGAUGAUGGGUUACACCCUAAAUAAAGAUACGGAAUACUACACUAAAAGUUAUAUAAAGGUGGACUUGGACGUAAUAAAGAUACUAAAUCAAGAUGAAUACGAAUCUGAGACAUGCACACAUCGCCCGUCACUCUCGCCCAAAGGCGAGAUAAGUCGUAACAAAGUAGGUGUAACGGAAGUUGCACCUGU
RNAcentral lists this ribosomal RNA (262 nucleotides) under Aporrectodea caliginosa. Its description in RNAcentral is "partial 12S ribosomal RNA". It matches the Rfam family "Bacterial small subunit ribosomal RNA", at positions 930 to 1520 of the family's 1533-position model. Lineage: Eukaryota; Metazoa; Annelida; Clitellata; Crassiclitellata; Lumbricidae. The record is from RNAcentral.